This 73-nucleotide transfer RNA is filed under the name Gemmobacter caeni. Its description in RNAcentral is "tRNA-Thr". It matches the Rfam family "tRNA". From Rfam's summary of the family: Transfer RNA (tRNA) molecules are approximately 80 nucleotides in length. Lineage: Bacteria; Pseudomonadati; Pseudomonadota; Alphaproteobacteria; Rhodobacterales; Paracoccaceae. The record is from RNAcentral.
GCCGGCAUAGCUCAGACGGUAGAGCAUCUGAUUCGUAAUCAGGGGGUCGGAGGUUCGAGUCCUCUUGCCGGCA